RNAcentral lists this ribosomal RNA (117 nucleotides) under Achromobacter xylosoxidans. RNAcentral describes it as "partial 23S ribosomal RNA". The stretch from base 1 to 99 matches the Rfam family "Bacterial large subunit ribosomal RNA", at positions 2827 to 2925 of the family's 2925-position model. RNAcentral also lists the same sequence under 1 other name. Lineage: Bacteria; Pseudomonadati; Pseudomonadota; Betaproteobacteria; Burkholderiales; Alcaligenaceae. The record is from RNAcentral.
CUGAAGGGUCGUUCGAGACCAGGACGUUGAUAGGUCGGGUGUGGAAGCGCAGUAAUGCGUUAAGCUAACCGAUACUAAUUGCCCGUGAGGCUUGAUCCUAUAACACUGAUGGUUAUG